RNAcentral lists this ribosomal RNA (196 nucleotides) under uncultured bacterium. RNAcentral describes it as "partial 16S ribosomal RNA". It matches the Rfam family "Bacterial small subunit ribosomal RNA", at positions 338 to 524 of the family's 1533-position model. The record is from RNAcentral.
CCUACGGGAGGCAGCAGCCGCGGUAAUAUUGCCCAAUGCGCGAAAGCGUGAGGCAGCAACGCCGCGUGGAGGAAGACGGCCUUCGGGUUGUAAACUCCUUUCAGUUGGGACGAAGCUUCACUGGUUAAGAGCUGGUUGGAGUGACGGUACCUUUAGAAGAAGCCCCGGCUAACUACGUGCCAGCAGCCGCGGUAAU